RNAcentral lists this ribosomal RNA (329 nucleotides) under uncultured eukaryote. RNAcentral's name for it is "partial 18S ribosomal RNA". It matches the Rfam family "Eukaryotic small subunit ribosomal RNA", at positions 1470 to 1796 of the family's 1831-position model. The record is from RNAcentral.
CCCUUAGAUGUUCUGGGCCGCACGCGCGCUACACUGAUGCAUUCAACGAGUCUAAAACCUGCUCUGAUAGGGGUGGGUAAUCUUUUGAAUGUGCGUCGUGCUGGGGAUAGAUGAUUGUAAUUAUUCGUCUUGAACGAGGAAUUCCUAGUAAGUGUGAGUCAUCAGCUCGCGCUGAUUACGUCCCUGCCCUUUGUACACACCGCCCGUCGCUCCUACCGAUUGAAUGGUCCGGUGAGGUUCUCGGAUUUUUUCUGUUGUUUGGUUCGCUAAACGAUUGAAGAGAGAAGUUACCCAAACCUUACCAUUUAGAGGAAGGAGAAGUCGUAACA